RNAcentral lists this ribosomal RNA (487 nucleotides) under uncultured bacterium. RNAcentral's name for it is "bacterial SSU rRNA". It matches the Rfam family "Bacterial small subunit ribosomal RNA", at positions 903 to 1397 of the family's 1533-position model. The record is from RNAcentral.
AAAUGAAUUGACGGGGGCCCGCACAAGCAGUGGAGCAUGUGGAUUAAUUCGACGCAACGCGAAGAACCUUACCAAGAUUUGACAUGGGAACUAAAGCCCUAGAAAUAGGGAAAUAUCAGGUCUACACAGGUGGUGCAUGGUUGUCGUCAGCUCGUGUCGUGAGAUGUUGGGUUAAGUCCCGCAACGAGCGCAACCCUCGUCCUUAGUUGCCAUCAUUCAGUUGGGAACUCUAGGGAUACUGCCGAUGUAAGUCGGAGGAAGGUGGGGAUGACGUCAAAUCAUCAUGCCCUUUAUAUCUUGGGCGUCACACGUGCUACAAUGGCCGGUACAAAGAGAAGCAAAACCGCGAGGUCAAGCAAAUCUCAUAAAGCCGGUCUCAGUUCGGAUCGGAGUCUGCAACUCGACUCCGUGAAGCUGGAAUUGCUAGUAAUCGCAGAUCAGCCAUGCUGCGGUGAAUACGUUCCCGGGCCUUGUACACACCGCCCGU